RNA transcript from Pseudophryne corroboree (corroboree frog), 5077 nucleotides. It is a transcript of the gene named F-box protein 3, with no coding region annotated. The transcript has 2 exons. NCBI's taxonomy places the organism in Eukaryota, Metazoa, Chordata, Amphibia, Anura, Myobatrachidae. The record is from RefSeq and is a predicted model, not a curated record.
AAUUAUCGGUAAGUAAAUUCUUAUUUUCUAUAAAGAAAAGAAAUCUAAUGUCACUUUCCCUCCUUCCCACGAGCUUAAUACACUUUUUGAAGGGAUGUGGGUGAAUCCCGAAAAGAAAUUUCGUAUUCCCAAGAGAAUUCAGAUAGCUUAUCCUUUCCCGGUGGAGGACAGGAAAAAAUGGGAGUCACCCCCUGUGUUAGACAGUGCACUGUCCAGGUUGACAAAGAAGGUAAUUGUCCCUGCACCUGGCACGGCUUCACUAAAAGAGCCGGCAGACUGAAAGAUGGAAACUACAUUGAAAUCCAUUUAUGUUGCCAAUGGUACGCUGCUCAGGCCCACAAUUGCUUGCGCGUGGGUGAGUCGCGCUAUUGAAAAAUGGUCAGACAGCGUGUCAUCAGAAAUUGACACGAUUGAUAAAGAUGAGAUACUCCUUAAGUUAGGGAAUAUCAAAGACGCUGCCUCAUACAUGCUAGAAGCGAUAAAAGAUAUUGGACUCUUGAGUUCACAAGCCGCUACCAUGGCAGUAUCGGCUCGGCGGGCGUUGUGGAUUCACCAGUGGAACGCGGAUGCAGAUUCCAAAAGAAAUAUGGAGGCUCUCCCAUAUAAAGGUGAGGCCUUGUUUGGUGAUGGAUUGGAUGCGUUAGUCUCAGCGGCUACCGCAGGUAAGUCAACAUUUUUGCCCUCUGCGGCUGCACCGGCAAAAAAGACAUAUCCACCCGCACAUGCAGUCCUUUCGGCCCAAUAAAUACAAAAAAGCGAGAGGUUCCCCCUUCUUUGCGGGUAGGGGAAAGGGAAAGAAGUCCACAGCAGCUUCAGGUUCCCAGGAGCAGAAGUCUACCCCUACUUCUGCCAAAUCUUCAGCAUGACGCUGGGGCUCCUUUGCGGGAAGCCGCUCAGGUGGGGGCACGUCUCAAACUGUUCAGCCAAGGUUGGAUUCUGUCUUCUGGCCUGGAUCCCUGGUUGUUGCAAAUAGUGUCCCAGGGAUACAAGCUGGAGUUUCAAGACGUUCCCCCAUGCCGAUUUUUCAAAUCGACCUUGCCAGCUUCUCUUCCAGAAAGGGAAGCAGUAACAGCGGCAAACCAAAAAUUAUGUAAGGAUCAGGUCAUAGUCCUGGUACCUUUGUCACAACAAGGGGAGGGGUUUUAUUCAAGCCUUUUGUAGUUCUGAAGCCGGGUGGCUCGGUCAGACAGAUCCUAAACCUGAAAAAUCUGAAUCUCUACUUGAAACGAUUCAAGUUCAAAAUAGAAUCACUGAGGGCAGGGAGUUCCAGUCUGGAGGAGGGGGACUACAUGGUGUCUGUAGACAUAAAAGAUGCUUACCUGCAUGUUCCCAUUUAUCCUCCUCACCAGGCUUAUCUGAGAUUCGCGGUUCAGGAUUGCCAUUACCAAUUCCAGACGUUAACUUUCGGUCUCUCCACGGCGCCGAGGGUAUUCACCAAGGUGAUGGCGGAGAUGAUGGUUCUCCUGCGUCAAAAAGGAGUCAAUAUAAUUCCUUAUCUAGACGAUCUCCUGAUAAAGGCGAGAUCCAGGGAGCAGUUGUUACAAAACAUCACACUCUCCCUGUCAAUACUCCAACAACACGGUUGGAUCAUACAUUAUCCAAAGUCCCAGUUGGAACCGGCGACAAGAUUGUCUUUUCUCGGGAUGAUUCUGGACACAGAAGUUCAGAGAGUAUUUCUUCAGGUGGAAAAGGCUCUGGAAAUCCAGAAAAUGGUAAAACAAAUAUUGAAACCAUUGAGUGUGUCGAUCCAUCAGUGCAUUCGGUUGUUGGGGAAGAUGGUGGCGGCCUACGAGGCCAUACAGUUUGGCAGGUUCCAUGCCAGGGUAUUCCAGUGGGACCUGUUGGACAAGUGGUCGGGAUCCCACCUACACAUGCACCGGAAGAUAAUCCUGUCGUCAAAAGCCAGGAUUUCGCUCUUGUGGUGGCUACACAGUUCUCACCUAUUAGAGGGACGCAGGUUCGGGAUUCAGGACUGGCUCCUGGUAACCACUGAUGCAAGUCUCCGAGGCUGGGGAGCUGUCACUCGGGGAGAAAGCUUCCAGGGAAUAUGGUCAAGUCAGGAAGCCUGCCUUCACAUAAACGUGCUGGAAUUGAGAGCCAUUUACAACGGCCUUCAACAUUCGGUACAUCAUCUUCAAGAUCAUCCCGUGCAGAUCCAGUCGGACAACGUAACAGCAGUCGCGUACAUAAACAGGCAGGGCGGAACGAAAAGCAGAGCGGCAAUGGCAGAGGUGACGAAGAUCCUCCUCUGGGCAGAAAGACAUGUAAAGGCUCUGUCUGCAAUUUUCCUUCCGGGAGUAGACAACUGGGAAGCAGACUUCCUCAGCAGACACGAUCUCCAUCCAGGAGAGUGGGGCCUACACCAAGAAAUCUUCCCAGAGAUAACAAGUCUUUGGGGAUUUCCUUAAGUAGACAUGAUGGCAUCUUGUCUCAACAAGAAGCUUCAGAAAUAUUGUUCCAGGUCGAGAGACCCUAAAGCAAUAACAGUGGAUGCGCUGGUGGCCCAGUGGGUGUUCCGGUCGGUGUAUGUCUUCCCUCCACUUCCGCUGAUCCCAAAAGUGCUCAGGAUCAUAAGAAGAACAAGAGUUCGAGCAAUCUACAUUGCCCCAGACUGGCCAAGGAGGGCUUGGUACCCAGAUCUUCAGGAGUUGCUCAUAGAAGAUCCUCUUCCUCUUUGCGAGGACCUGCUGCAGCAGGGGCCGUGCAUGUAUCAAGACUUAUCGUGGCUACGUUUGAUGGCAUGACUGUUGAGCGCCGGAUCCUAGCCCGAAAGGGUGUUCCCAAGGAAGUCAUCCCCACCCUUAUUCAGGCCAGGAAAGGAGUAACGUCGAAACAUUACCACCGUAUUUGGAGAAAAUAUGUGUCUUGGCGUGAAUCCAAGAAGGCUCCUACGGAAGAGUUUGAGUUGGGACGUUUUCUCCAUUUUCUGCAGGCUGGUGUGGAGGCGGGCCUACGAUUGGGCUCAAUCAAGGUCCAGAUUUCGGCCUUGUCGGUGUUCUUCCAAAAACAAUUGGCCUCUCUUCCAGAGGUUCAGACCUUCGUGAAAGGGGUUCUGCACAUCCAGCCUCCAUUUGUGCCUCCAGUGGCACCAUGGGACCUUAACGUGGUGUUGCAGUUCCUUCAAUCAGAUUGGUUUGAGCCUCUACAAGAGAUAGAGUUGAAGUUUCUCACUUGGAAAGUGGUCAUGCUUUUGGCAUUGGCAUCCACGCGGCGGGUGUCUGAAUUGGGGGCCUUGUCUCACAAGAGCCCUUGCAAAAGGAAAGGAGAAAAGAAGACUUUUGUGGGUGCACUCUUGUAUAUCUUGAAGUCUCAAAAGAAACAGUGGUUUUAUAUUAAAAAAUAUAAUUUUUAUUAACAAUAUCAAUAAAAUAAAAUAGUAGUUGGAUAUACAAACAAGUAAAAGGGAAAAAGAAACAACAGAACCAAUAAUACUAGCAUAGAUACUGAAUGACGGUUCCAAACUGUCUGGGUUUCAAAUACAGAUUUGCCUCAACUGACUGCCUGAAAAUAAAUGCUCCUAGGCGCACAUUUAUCUUGUAUUUAAGAUAUACAAGAGUGCACCCACAAAAGAGUCUUCUUUUCUCCUUUCCUUUUGCAUGUUUCAUUACUGACUCAGGGUGCACCACCAAAUCUAAGAUAGAUUUGAAAACAGUGUUUUUCUUCCCUUAUUAUUGCAUUUUGGUUAUUACAUUAUCCACUUUAUACUUCAUUAUUCCCCUGUGCGGUAUACCCCUGAUACAUGAUUGCUCACAAGAGCCCUUACCUGAUCUUCCAUGAAGAUAGGGCAGAGUUGAGGACUCAUCAACAUUUUCUUCCGAAGGUGGUUUCAUCUUUCCACAUAAACCAACCUAUUGUGUUGCCAGUAGUUACUGACACGUUCACUGAGUCAAAGUCUCUAGAUGUGGUUAGGGCUUUAAAGAUUUAUGUCGCUAGAACAGCUCGAAUACGGAAAACAGAGUCUUUGUUUGUCCUGUAUGCUCCCAACAAGAUUGGGUGUCCUGCUUCCAAGCAGACUAUUGCGCGUUGGAUCAGAAGUACGAUUCAGCACGCUCAUACUAUGGCUGGAUUGCUGUUACCGACGUCGGUGAAGGCCCAUUCCACUAGGAAGGUGGGCUCAUCCUGGGUGGCUGCCCGGGGGGUCUCGGCAUUGCAACUUUGCCGAGCAGCUACUUGGUCGGGGUCAAACACAUUUGCUAAAUUCUACAAGUUUGACACCUUGGUCGAUGAAGACCUCAAGUUCGGUCAAUCAGUGCUGCAGGGUCAUCCGCACUCUCCCGCCCGUACUGGAGCUUUGGUAUAAGCCCCAUGGUCAUGAAGUGGACCCCAGCAUACUCUAGGACGUAUGAGAAAACAGGAUUUUGAUACCUACCGGUAAAUCCUUUUCUUCUAGUCCGUAGAGGAUGCUGGGCGCCCGUCCCAGUGCGUACUUUACCUGCAGUUUUGUUAUUAGAGUUACACAAGUUGUGUUAUAUUAGUUUCAGCAUGUUGUUGUAAUUGGUUCAUGCCUGUUGGCAUGUGUUAUGUUGAAUGCCAUGUUGUGCGGCAUGGUUGAGGUGUGAGCUGGUAUGUAUCUCACCACUAGCUUAAAGUAAAUCCUUUCCUCAAAAUGUCCGUCUCCCUGGGCACAGUUCCUAUAACUGAAGUCUGGAGGAGGGGCAUAGAGGGAGGAGCCAGUUCACAACCAUUGAAAAGUCUUAAGAGUGCCCAUGGCUCCUGCGGAACCGUCUGUACCCCCAUGGUCAUGAAGUGGACCCCAGCAUCCUCUACGGACUAGGAGAAAAGGAUUUACCGGUAGGUAUGAAAAUCCUGUUUUUUGCACACUAAGCACUUUUUAUGCAUGUAAGCACAAAGUCACUUUAUUUAUAUAUUGUCUUCAUCCUCCAACUAUGUGACAUUCUGCAUAACUCCUGAGAAUGUGAGGAAGGAGGAGGCCACCACUGAGGGAUACGUGUAAAGAUACCUGUACAAGCAGAUCAUCUUCCUUUGUCUGGUAUGAGCAUGAUAAAGACUGCGUGGAGACUACUGAUGACAUCACUGUUUCAGUCUCCACCUCCUUCCUCCCCGAGUUGAGCUCCAU